GAUGAAGAACGCAGCGAAAUGCGAUACGUAAUGUGAAUUGCAGAAUUCAGUGAAUCAUCGAAUCUUUGAACGCAUAUUGCGCUCUUUGGUAUUCCGAAGAGCAUGCUUGUUUGAGUAUCAGUAAAACACUCAAAUCUUUUUUUUUCUUGAAGAAAAAGAUUUGGUUUUGAGUAAUCCUAACAAAAGAGUUUUCUCCUUUGGCAGGUCACUUGAAAUUCAGGUGCAGCUGAACAUUCUUCUGAGCUAAAAGCAUAUCUAUUUAGUCCUUGGUUUAACCGCUAGGAUUAUUACUUUUUGCUGCAGCUUACAUAAAGGUUGAUUUGUUCAAAUUUUUCUGACUGAUGCAGGAAUAUAUCAGUGAAAGCUUUUUUUAAAGUAGAAACUGUGAAUCUCGAUCUCAAAUCAAGUAAGACUACCCGCUGAACUUAAGCAUAUCAAUAAGCGGAGGA
Molecule: unclassified non-coding RNA, 449 nt
Filed under: soil metagenome
Description: partial contains 5.8S ribosomal RNA, internal transcribed spacer 2, and large subunit ribosomal RNA
Rfam family: 5.8S ribosomal RNA (bases 1-120)
Source: RNAcentral